GUCCCCAUAGCUUAAUGGAUAAAGUGCAACUUUGCGGAAGUUGUGAUGAAGGUUCGACUCCUUCUGGGGACA
RNAcentral lists this transfer RNA (72 nucleotides) under bacterium. Its description in RNAcentral is "tRNA-Arg". It matches the Rfam family "tRNA". Rfam says of the family: Transfer RNA (tRNA) molecules are approximately 80 nucleotides in length. The record is from RNAcentral. RNAcentral also lists the same sequence under 2 other names.